GAUGAACGCUGGCGGCGUGCCUAAUACAUGCAAGUCGAGCGAACAGACGAGGAGCUUGCUCCUCUGACGUUAGCGGCGGACGGGUGAGUAACACGUGGAUAACCUCCCUAUAAGACUGGGAUAACUUCGGGAAACCGGAGCUAAUACCGGAUAAUAUAUUGAACCGCAUGGUUCAAUAGUGGAAGACGGUUUUGCUGUCACUUAUAGAUGGAUCCGCGCCGCAUUAGCUAGUUGGUAAGGUAACGGCUUACCAAGGCAACGAUGCGUAGCCGACCUGAGAGGGUGAUCGGCCACACUGGAAGUGAGACACGGUCCAGACUCCUACGGGAGGCAGCAGUAGGGAAUCUGCCGCAAUGGGCGAAAGCCUGACGGAGCAACGCCGCGUGAGUGAUGAAGGUCUUCGGAUCGUAAAACUCUGUUAUUAGGGAAGAACAAAUGUGUAAGUAACUAUGCACUUCUUGACGGUACCUAAUCAGAAAGCCACGGCUAACUACGUG
RNAcentral lists this ribosomal RNA (497 nucleotides) under uncultured bacterium. RNAcentral's name for it is "partial 16S ribosomal RNA". It matches the Rfam family "Bacterial small subunit ribosomal RNA", at positions 28 to 507 of the family's 1533-position model. The record is from RNAcentral.